UACAACGAAAAGUGGCGAGACGAGGCCAAAUCGACUCAUUUUCGAUUAUUCUUUUCUUGUGCUUGUGGAGAGUAGGUGGACGUGUACGUGUUUGCGUUUUUAAGAAAAUUUAAUUUGAAGCAUAUUUUAAUUGCAUAACUUAAUAGCAAAAACAUUGAAAAGGCAAUUUUUGCAUUGAACAUAGAGGAAGUAUUUUCGUUAAAUAUCGGAUUAGAGUCACAUAAAUAUCAAAUAUGCCGCGCUAUCGAGAGUGGGACUUGGCAUGCAAAGUAUACGUUGGUAAUUUAGGUUCAUCUGCUUCAAAAUAUGAAAUUGAAAAUGCCUUUAGCAAAUAUGGCCCGCUGAGAAAUGUCUGGGUAGCGAGAAACCCACCUGGAUUUGCUUUUGUUGAAUUCGAAGAUCGCCGCGAUGCGGAGGAUGCAACUCGAGGUUUGGAUGGAACACGGUGCUGUGGUACUCGUAUCCGUGUGGAAAUGUCGUCGGGUCGGUCACGACGUGAUGAUAGACGCCGAGGUGGCGGUGGUGGUGGUGGAAGUACCAGUGGAGGUCGCGGUGGUGGACGCUAUAGGAUAAAGUCUACUGCUACUACUACUUCUACUAGAACUUCUACCUCCUCUUCCUUCAACAAAAACUACAAAAACAACAUCUUCACGUAUCACAACUACUGCUCCUUCUCCACAAAUCUCACCACGACAAGCAACAACAAGCUCAACUUAAUAUCGUUCAGCGACAACAAUCUUGAUAAUAGAAACAAUUUUAUCAGCCAGCUAUUUUUUUACAAAGAUCAACAAAAUUUCGACAACAACAAUUUUAGUUCAAGCGACUACCAUUAUUUUCAACAUCUCCAAAAACAACAACAAGAACCGCCACAACACAAAAAUUUCAUCAGUAAAAUUAAAAUCAUUAUUUUUGUUAUCAACACCGACACCUUGAACACCACCAACACCAACGUCACUACAAUUUUGCACCUAAAAUUUGCUCUCGUUUUCGCUGUAGUCAUUGUCAUCAACACCUAUCUAACAAUUGUUGUUGUCGUAAUAGAAAACUGUGACAGUUGUCCUGAUGUUAAGUGCAGUAAAAGAUCAACAAUCAUUAGAACAGCAACUACUAGUACAAUAACUACUGCUACUACUACUACUACUUCAGCUGCAACUGCUUCUACAGUCACUGCAACUAUUGCUACUAGAAGAAUUAGUGCAACUAGUAAAAGUGUGCUUGGGCAGCAGGCGCAGGAUCAGCAUCAGCGGCAAAAGCUAAAGCAUUUACAACAGCCAUCAUCAUUAAUACCACCAAUACCACCUUAACAACUUGAAAUACUACCACUUCCUUCUCCUUUGUAUAUGCAACUGACUGUGAUAUGAGCCCACAACACUACUACCUACAGCACAACAAAUACCAUCACCAACAACAUCAACAUCGACUUGACAAUAAAUGCACGCUCAUGAGAUAACUGAUUAGAUAAGCUGAUCAAUGUGCUUGGUCGGUAAUGUGAACUCAAAGCAAUAUCAGCUCGUUAAUCACCAAUCGCAUCUGCAACACCUGUUUCUACUAAAUAAGUGAAAACGUGUGCUCUUCUCAGCAACAACUAUCUACUUGACAUCCGCCUUCUACUAUGGUCCUCCUCCUGUGCGGUACACGGGAUCGUACUUCAUUUGGUUAGAAUUGCAUCCAUUUUGGGUUAGCCGGCCGAUCGGUUAAGCCUGAUCAUGAGGCCGUUGUACAUCAUGCUACACAGCGUUCCAACAAUCCAGCUUCACUCCUGAUCUACAAGGUCGUCAGCCUAAAAACCCGAACCCACAUUUCAUCAAGGACAACAGCAACUCUACCUCUCCGCUGAUGUACAAAAACGAGUGGCAAUCCAAAUCAAGGCUUUUAUAUCUACUUUACCAUCCCUGUCAUAUCCGCUAUGCGCAACGACCGCUUCUGAGCAUCAUUGUCACUGACGACCGCCAAGUUUGCAUACAAGAUUGUUUUGUCAAUAGUUGAUUUGCAAUUUUCAUGAUCUCCUCUCAUUUUCAUUCGAAGUAGUCAUCAUAGAUCAGUUGAAUAUCGAACUUAUUUCAUUAUCACCAAACCGCCACAACCACUACUACUACUGCAACACCUCAACAAAUCAGUCAGAACCAAUAAGUGAACAACUAAAUUGGCAACAUUUAUUCGUGGUAGGAAUUUCACAGUCAAUCAACAGUAAUUCUCUCUGCCCCAGAAAUUCUGCAAUCAGUCGACAACAUAAGAGCGGCUCGUCAUUUUACGGCUCAACAAAGCAGCAUUCAGAACUUUUAAUUGCAUUAGCAUAAUAUUGAAAAUACAAAGAAAAAUGCAACUUCAUCGUUUUCGGGGUUGAAUUUAUGGCCAACAGACCGUAUGAAAGAUACAAACAGUUUCACCAUAAAGGUCGUUGAAGUUGAAGCAACUACUGUGGUGCUACUGGUUGGAUUAAUGUGAAACAAUAAUUCGAGCGAGCAGUGUGGCUAGAAAUUAUUGCAAAAUAAUAUGCAAGUCACUCUCAAACUGUUGUAGUGGUAUGAGUGUGGCAAUUAUUUUUGUUUUAAUAUUUUGCAAUAAAUUGUAUUUCCUGCCCCGCCGGAAUUACUUGUUUGAACAAUAGCCAAAGAUUGGUCAACGCUUUUCCUAUACAUCGUCCUAUACAUAAUGCAAAUUUGCCUUUCCUGAAAUCCUGUCAGCAACGAUGAACAUCAUAAUUCUCAUCGAAACUACAAUGGUAGUAAAUUAUAAAAAAAAAAAAAAAUGCUUACAAAAUAAGCCCAUCUAAAGUGUGGAUUUUGUGAUUAUGUGCUUCCUUAUAAAUUAUUCCAUUCGACAUUUAAAUAAACUUAUUUUUCUUUUUAUAUAACAAUUUCUUACAGAUCUCGCUCUCCACGUCGCACACGCAGCCGUUCCCGCAGUUUUUCGAGAGACAGACGCAGCCGAUCGGACUCCCGUGAUCGUCAUUAGAUAUAGAAUUUUUAAAUUUCUCAAAGUGAAUUCCCACAAAGAAUCUAUUUUCUUUACCCAAUAUCUACAUUUUAUUAUCACAUAGAAAGAGAGAACUUAUCAUAAAGUAAGUUUUAGAUUUUGAGAGUUAAGAAGUAUAAGUGAGAAGAUCCGGUUGCAGCA
This 3117-nucleotide unclassified non-coding RNA is filed under the name Rhagoletis pomonella (apple maggot). Its description in RNAcentral is "rNA-binding protein 1-like, transcript variant X4". The record is from RNAcentral. Lineage: Eukaryota; Metazoa; Arthropoda; Insecta; Diptera; Tephritidae.